CCCGUGGCGACGUCUCUCGUACGCUAGAGAUCGUCGCUUUGGUGGCCGCUAGAAGAUGACGAGGGGCGGACGGGUGAGUAAUGCUUGGGAACUUGCCUUUGCGAGGGGGAUAACAGUUGGAAACGACUGCUAAUACCGCAUAAUGUCUUCGGACCAAACGGGGCUUAGGCUCCGGCGCAAAGAGAGGCCCAAGUGAGAUUAGCUAGUUGGUAAGGUAACGGCUUACCAAGGCGACGAUCUCUAGCUGUUCUGAGAGGAAGAUCAGCCACACUGGGACUGAGACACGGCCCAGACUCCUACGGGAGGCAGCAGUGGGGAAUAUUGCACAAUGGGGGAAACCCUGAUGCAGCCAUGCCGCGUGUGUGAAGAAGGCCUUCGGGUUGUAAAGCACUUUCAGUUGUGAGGAAAAGUUAGUAGUUAAUACCUGCUAGCCGUGACGUUAACAACAGAAGAAGCACCGGCUAACUCCGUGCCAGCAGCCGCGGUAAUACGGAGGGUGCGAGCGUUAAUCGGAAUUACUGGGCGUAAAGCGCACGCAGGCGGUUUGUUAAGCUAGAUGUGAAAGCCCCGGGCUCAACCUGGGAUGGUCAUUUAGAACUGGCAGACUAGAGUCUUGGAGAGGGGAGUGGAAUUCCAGGUGUAGCGGUGAAAUGCGUAGAUAUCUGGAGGAACAUCAGUGGCGAAGGCGACUCCCUGGCCAAAGACUGACGCUCAUGUGCGAAAGUGUGGGUAGCGAACAGGAUUAGAUACCCUGGUAGUCCACACCGUAAACGCUGUCUACUAGCUGUGUGUGCCUUUAAGGCGUGCGUAGCGAAGCUAACGCGAUAAGUAGACCGCCUGGGGAGUACGGCCGCAAGGUUAAAACUCAAAUGAAUUGACGGGGGCCCGCACAAGCGGUGGAGCAUGUGGUUUAAUUCGAUGCAACGCGAAGAACCUUACCUACACUUGACAUGCUGAGAAGUUACUAGAGAUAGUUUCGUGCCUUCGGGAACUCAGACACAGUGCUGCAUGGCUGUCGUCAGCUCGUGUCGUGAGAUUGUUGGUUAGUCCCGCACGAGCGCACCCUUGUCUUAGUUGCAGCAUUCAGUUGGCACUCUAGAGACUGC
This 1106-nucleotide ribosomal RNA is filed under the name Alteromonas macleodii. Its description in RNAcentral is "bacterial SSU rRNA". It matches the Rfam family "Bacterial small subunit ribosomal RNA", at positions 36 to 1152 of the family's 1533-position model. The record is from RNAcentral. Lineage: Bacteria; Pseudomonadati; Pseudomonadota; Gammaproteobacteria; Alteromonadales; Alteromonadaceae.